GCUUGUCUCAAAGAUUAAGCCAUGCAUGUUCAAGUAUAGCAAGUGUACAGUGAAACUGCGAAUGGCUCAUUAAAUCAGUUAUAAUUUAUUUGAUAGUGAAAUUGUACAUGGAUAACCGUGGCAAUUCUAGGGCUAAUACAUGCGUCAAUGGUCGGUCGACCAGUAUUUAUUAGAUACAAAGCCAGCCGUCAGGAUCAGGUGAGUCAUAAUAACUGAACUAAGCGCAUGCUUUGGCGGCGCUGUUUCAUUCAAGUUUCUGCCCUAUCAGCUUUCGAUGGUAGGGUAUUGGCCUACCAUGGCGUUCACGGGUAACGGAGAAUUAGGGUUCGAUUCCGGAGAGGGAGCCUGAGAGAUGGCUACCACAUCCAAGGAAGGCAGCAGG
RNAcentral lists this ribosomal RNA (382 nucleotides) under uncultured fungus. RNAcentral's name for it is "partial small subunit ribosomal RNA". It matches the Rfam family "Eukaryotic small subunit ribosomal RNA", at positions 30 to 432 of the family's 1831-position model. Lineage: Eukaryota; Fungi. The record is from RNAcentral.